GACGAACGCUGGCGGCGUGCCUAAUACAUGCAAGUAGAACGCUGAAGGAGGAGCUUGCUUCUCUGGAUGAGUUGCGAACGGGUGAGUAACGCGUAGGUAACCUGCCUGGUAGCGGGGGAUAACUAUUGGAAACGAUAGCUAAUACCGCAUAAGAUUGACUAUUGCAUGAUAGUCAGUUAAAAGGUGCAAUUGCAUCACUACCAGAUGGACCUGCGUUGUAUUAGCUAGUUGGUGGGGUAACGGCUCACCAAGGCGACGAUACAUAGCCGACCUGAGAGGGUGAUCGGCCACACUGGACUGAGACACGGCCCAGACUCCUACGGGAGGCAGCAGUAGGGAAUCUUCGGCAAUGGACGGAAGUCUGACCGAGCAACGCCGCGUGAGUGAAGAAGGUUUUCGGAUCGUAAAGCUCUGUUGUAAGAGAAGAACGAGUGUGAGAGUGGAAAGUUCACACUGUGACGGUAUCUUACCAGAAAGGGACGGCUAACUACGUG
This 494-nucleotide ribosomal RNA is filed under the name uncultured bacterium. Its description in RNAcentral is "partial 16S ribosomal RNA". It matches the Rfam family "Bacterial small subunit ribosomal RNA", at positions 28 to 507 of the family's 1533-position model. The record is from RNAcentral.